CCCUUAGAUGUUCUGGGCUGCACGCGCGCUACACUGACGCACGCAACAGGUGCCUGCUCCGAGAGGACUGGGUAAUCAUUUGAGUGUGCGUCGUGAUGGGGAUAGAAUAUUGUAAUUAUUACUCUUCAACGAGGAAUUCCUAGUAAGCGCAAGUCAGCAGCUUGCGUUGAUUACGUCCCUGCCCUUUGUACACACCGCCCGUCGCUACUACCGAUUGAAUGGUUUAGUGAGAAUUUUGGACUGGAACUCCCUUGCUCAGCAAUGGGCGAGGGGGAGUCCGGGAAGCUAUUCUAACUGUAUCAUUUAGAGGAAGUAAAAGUCGUAACA
RNAcentral lists this ribosomal RNA (327 nucleotides) under uncultured eukaryote. Its description in RNAcentral is "partial 18S ribosomal RNA". It matches the Rfam family "Eukaryotic small subunit ribosomal RNA", at positions 1470 to 1796 of the family's 1831-position model. The record is from RNAcentral.